Long non-coding RNA from Amphiprion ocellaris (clown anemonefish), 436 nucleotides. The record is from Ensembl. Lineage: Eukaryota; Metazoa; Chordata; Actinopteri; Pomacentridae.
CUUAGGCAGCGUCUCCCUGAGGUCCCUCUCUAUCUCCCCUCACAUCCACCAAGCACUGGAACACAUCUCCAAAGUUCUGCUGGGCCAGCUCAGCUUCCCCUCAGAAGAAGUUCCACCACAUGAAGGAGUCUUUUGAGAGGCAGCUGGCAUCGUGAUUGGACUGUACUUUGGUCUGUUCCAAUCCAGCUUCAGCUCCAGAGACGGCAGGCGGGACGAGUCAACGGAGGCCGGGUGGACGAAGGCAUGCAGCUGAGUACAAUCCAGAAAACAACAGAGGAGGAGUGCAGGACCAGAACAAACAGAGUAGCAUCGUAUGUCUCUUAGAAAACAUCAUAGUAUAGCCUUUGACCAAAGAACUACAGACUCUUCACAACCUGCUCAAACUCUUGGUACAGGACCUCACCACACGGGUCAAGAAGGUUUCCGUCUCAUUUCU